Molecule: ribosomal RNA, 377 nt
Filed under: uncultured Acidobacteriota bacterium
Lineage: Bacteria; Pseudomonadati; Acidobacteriota
Description: bacterial SSU rRNA
Rfam family: Bacterial small subunit ribosomal RNA
Source: RNAcentral
UAAUACGGGGGGGGCAAGCGUUGUUCGGAAUUACUGGGCGUAAAGGGUGCGUAGGCGGCCUGGAUAGUCCUUCGUGAAAUCCCACAGCUCAACUGUGGAACUGCGGAGGAUACUCUCAGGCUUGAGUCCGGGAGAGGGGAGUGGAAUUCCCAGUGUAGCGGUGAAAUGCGUAGAUAUUGGGAGGAACACCGGUGGCGAAGGCGGCUCCCUGGACCGGUACUGACGCUGAGGCGCGAAAGCUAGGGGAGCAAACGGGAUUAGAUACCCCGGUAGUCCUAGCUGUAAACGUUGAGCACUUGGUGUGGCGGGUGUCGACCCCUGCCGUGCCGAAGCUAACGCAUUAAGUGCUCCGCCUGGGGAGUACGGUCGCAAGGCUG